GGUCGGGUCCUGUGCAACUUUGGCCUGUGAACCGAGUCAGGGCCGGAAGGCAGCAGCUCUCAGCGGAACCCAUCGUGUGCCGCAGAUCGCCUGGCCGUC
RNAcentral lists this signal recognition particle RNA (99 nucleotides) under Acidimicrobiia bacterium. Its description in RNAcentral is "signal recognition particle sRNA small type". It matches the Rfam family "Bacterial small signal recognition particle RNA". Rfam says of the family: The signal recognition particle (SRP) is a universally conserved ribonucleoprotein involved in the co-translational targeting of proteins to membranes. Archaeal SRP consists of a 7S RNA and homologues of the eukaryotic SRP19 and SRP54 proteins. The record is from RNAcentral. Lineage: Bacteria; Bacillati; Actinomycetota; Acidimicrobiia.